GACGAACGCUGGCGGCGUGCUUAACACAUGCAAGUCGAACGGAAAGGCCCUGCUUUUGUGGGGUGCUCGAGUGGCGAACGGGUGAGUAACACGUGAGUAACCUGCCCUUGACUUUGGGAUAACUUCAGGAAACUGGGGCUAAUACCGGAUAGGAGCUCCUGCUGCAUGGUGGGGGUUGGAAAGUUUCGGCGGUUGGGUAUGGACUCGCGGCUUAUCAGCUUGUUGGUGGGGUAGUGGCUUACCAAGGCUUUAACGGGUAGCCGGCCUGCGAGGGUGACCGGCCACAUUGGGACUGAGAUACGGCCCAGACUGCUACGGGAGGCAGCAGUGGGGAAUAUUGCACAAUGGGCGGAAGCCUGAUGCAGCAAAGCCGCGUGCGGGAUGACGGCCUUCGGGUUGUAAACCGCUUUCGACUGUGACGAAGCGUGAGUGACGGUAAUGGGUAAAGAAGCACCGGCUAACUACGUG
Molecule: ribosomal RNA, 468 nt
Filed under: uncultured bacterium
Lineage: Bacteria
Description: partial 16S ribosomal RNA
Rfam family: Bacterial small subunit ribosomal RNA
Source: RNAcentral